UGAGUAAUGCGUGACCAACCUGCCCCAUGCUCCAGAAUAGCUCUUGGAAACGGGUGGUAAUGCUGGAUGCUCCAACUUGACGCAUGUCUUGUUGGGAAAGUGUUUAGUGGCAUGGGAUGGGGUCGCGUCCUAUCAGCUUGUAGGCGGGGUAAUGGCCCACCUAGGCUUCGACGGGUAGCCGGCCUGAGAGGGCGGACGGCCACAUUGGGACUGAGAUACGGCCCAGACUCCUACGGGAGGCAGCAGA
RNAcentral lists this ribosomal RNA (247 nucleotides) under uncultured Gardnerella sp. Its description in RNAcentral is "partial 16S ribosomal RNA". It matches the Rfam family "Bacterial small subunit ribosomal RNA", at positions 107 to 354 of the family's 1533-position model. Lineage: Bacteria; Bacillati; Actinomycetota; Actinomycetes; Bifidobacteriales; Bifidobacteriaceae. The record is from RNAcentral.